Vicia faba (fava bean) is the source of this 210-nucleotide non-coding RNA. The record is from the annotation of a GenBank genome assembly. NCBI's taxonomy places the organism in Eukaryota, Viridiplantae, Streptophyta, Magnoliopsida, Fabales, Fabaceae.
AUGAAACCGUCAACCCCCUCUACACUAGCAUUGCAUCUCCCUCCCUGUGUCCUCCAUCACCACCCAACACCAAAACGACCUUUGUAUUCUCCAUACCGCCAACACUCCCAUCAACAUCGUCCUCCGUUAACCGCAACUGCUUCACUGUCUCAAACCCUCCACCACCGCCGCCACAGUCACAAAUUCAUAAUCACCGUGAACUUGAUUUAA